AUUGAACGCUGGCGGCAGGCCUAACACAUGCAAGUCGAGCGGAUGAAGGGAGCUUGCUCCUGGAUUCAGCGGCGGACGGGUGAGUAAUGCCUAGGAAUCUGCCUGGUAGUGGGGGAUAACGUCCGGAAACGGGCGCUAAUACCGCAUACGUCCUGAGCGAGAAAGUGGGGGAUCUUCGGACCUCACGCUAUCAGAUGAGCCUAGGUCGGAUUAGCUAGUUGGUGGGGUAAAGGCCUACCAAGGCGACGAUCCGUAACUGGUCUGAGAGGAUGAUCAGUCACACUGGAACUGAGACACGGUCCAGACUCCGACGGGAGGCAGCAGUGGGGAAUAUUGGACAAUGGGCGAAAGCCUGAUCCAGCCAUGCCGCGUGUGUGAAGAAGGUCUUCGGAUUGUAAAGCACUUUAAGUUGGGAGGAAGGGCAGUAAGUUAAUACCUUGCUGUUUUGACGUUACCAACAGAAUAAGCACCGGCUAACUUCGUG
Molecule: ribosomal RNA, 484 nt
Filed under: uncultured bacterium
Lineage: Bacteria
Description: partial 16S ribosomal RNA
Rfam family: Bacterial small subunit ribosomal RNA
Source: RNAcentral